UACGUAGGGGGCUAGCGUUGCUCGGAAUCACUGGGCGUAAAGCGCACGUAGGCGGCCUCUUAAGUCAGGGGUGAAAUCCUGGAGCUCAACUCCAGAACUGCCUUUGAUACUGAGAAGCUUGAGUCCGGGAGAGGUGAGUGGAACUGCGAGUGUAGAGGUGAAAUUCGUAGAUAUUCGCAAGAACACCAGUGGCGAAGGCGGCUCACUGGCCCGGUACUGACGCUGAGGUGCGAAAGCGUGGGGAGCAAACAGG
Molecule: ribosomal RNA, 253 nt
Filed under: uncultured bacterium
Lineage: Bacteria
Description: partial 16S ribosomal RNA
Rfam family: Bacterial small subunit ribosomal RNA
Source: RNAcentral